ACGCUGGCGGCAUGCCUUACACAUGCAAGUCGAACGGCAGCACGGAGCUUGCUCUGGUGGCGAGUGGCGAACGGGUGAGUAAUAUAUCGGAACGUACCCUAGAGUGGGGGAUAACGCAGCGAAAGUUACGCUAAUACCGCAUACGAUCUAAGGAUGAAAGUGGGGGAUCGCAAGACCUCAUGCUCGUGGAGCGGCCGAUAUCUGAUUAGCUAGUUGGUAGGGUAAAAGCCUACCAAGGCAUCGAUCAGUAGCUGGUCUGAGAGGACGACCAGCCACACUGGAACUGAGACACGGUCCAGACUCCUACGGGAGGCAGCAGUGGGGAAUUUUGGACAAUGGGCGAAAGCCUGAUCCAGCAAUGCCGCGUGAGUGAAGAAGGCCUUCGGGUUGUAAAGCUCUUUUGUCAGGGAAGAAACGGUGAAAGCUAAUAUCUUUUGCUAAUGACGGUACCUGAAGAAUAAGCACCGGCUAACUACGUGCCAGCAGCCGCGGUAAUACGUAGGGUGCAAGCGUUAAUCGGAAUUACUGGGCGUAAAGCGUGCGCAGGCGGUUUUGUAAGUCUGAUGUGAAAUCCCCGGGCUCAACCUGGGAAUUGCAUUGGAGACUGCAAGGCUAGAAUCUGGCAGAGGGGGUAGAAUUCCACGUGUAGCAGUGAAAUGCGUAGAUAUGUGGAGGAACACCGAUGGCGAAGGCAGCCCCCUGGGUCAAGAUUGACGCUCAUGCACGAAAGCGUGGGGAGCAAAC
Molecule: ribosomal RNA, 744 nt
Filed under: uncultured bacterium
Lineage: Bacteria
Description: bacterial SSU rRNA
Rfam family: Bacterial small subunit ribosomal RNA
Source: RNAcentral